This 252-nucleotide ribosomal RNA is filed under the name Negativicoccus succinicivorans. RNAcentral describes it as "partial 16S ribosomal RNA". It matches the Rfam family "Bacterial small subunit ribosomal RNA", at positions 524 to 776 of the family's 1533-position model. The record is from RNAcentral. Lineage: Bacteria; Bacillati; Bacillota; Negativicutes; Veillonellales; Veillonellaceae.
UACGUAGGUGGCAAGCGUUGUCCGGAAUUAUUGGGCGUAAAGAGCGCGUAGGCGGUAUGGUAAGUCUGUCUUAGAAGUGCGGGGCUUAACCCCGUGAGGGGACAGAGACUGUCAUACUGGAGUCUCGGAGAGGAAAGCGGAAUUCCUAGUGUAGCGGUGAAAUGCGUAGAGAUUAGGAAGAACACCGGUGGCGAAGGCGGCUUUCUGGACGAGCACUGACGCUGAGGCGCGAAAGCGUGGGGAGCGAACAGG